RNAcentral lists this ribosomal RNA (498 nucleotides) under uncultured bacterium. Its description in RNAcentral is "partial 16S ribosomal RNA". It matches the Rfam family "Bacterial small subunit ribosomal RNA", at positions 28 to 507 of the family's 1533-position model. The record is from RNAcentral.
GACGAACGCUGGCGGCGUGCCUAAUACAUGCAAGUCGAACGAGGGCGACCAGUUCUUGCACUGGUCAAUCGAGUGACGAACGAGUGAGUCACACGUGGGUAACCCGUACCUCAGAGGGAGAUAAGAUCCGGAAACUGUUGCUAAAACCACAUACGUCUUCGAAACGCAGGGUUUUGAGAGGAAAAAACGCUCAUGCUUCUGCUGAUGGACUGUCCGGCGGUGCGUUAGGUAAUGGCUGAGGUAACGGCCCACCAAGGCCGUGAUGCAUAGCCGAACUGAGAGAGUGAUCGGCGGCAUUGGGACUGAAACACGGACCAAGCGCCUAAGGGAGGGACCAGUAGGGAAUCUUCCGCAAUGGACGCAAGUCUUACGGAGCAACGCCGAGUGAGAGAAGACGGUUUUCGGUGCGUAAAAACCUGUUGUUGGAUAAGAACCAGUGCCAGAAUAACUGUUAGCGACUUGACGGUAUCUACCCAGAAAGCCACGGCUAACUACGUG